This 497-nucleotide ribosomal RNA is filed under the name uncultured bacterium. Its description in RNAcentral is "partial 16S ribosomal RNA". The stretch from base 54 to 497 matches the Rfam family "Bacterial small subunit ribosomal RNA", at positions 39 to 507 of the family's 1533-position model. The record is from RNAcentral.
GGGGGGGGGGGGGGGGGGGCGGAGGGGGGGGAGGUGGGGGGGAAAGAGGGGGAGCUGGGUGCUCGGGGGUUGGGGGGGGGGGGGGGGGUAACAGGUGGAUAACCUCCCUAUAAGACUGGGAUAACUUCGGGAACCCGGAGCUAAUACCGGAUAACAUGUUGAACCGCAUGGUUCAACAGUGAAAGACGGUUUUGCUGUCACUACUAGAUGGAUCCGCGUCGCCUUAGCUAGUUGGUAAGGUAACGGCUUACCAAGGCAACGGUGCGUGACCGACCUGAGAGGGGGAACGGCCACACUGGAAAUGGGACACGGUCCAGAAUCCUACGGGAGGCAGCAGUAGGGAAUCUUCCGCAAUGGGGGAAAGCCUGACGGAGCAACGCCGCGUGAGUGAAGAAGGUCUUCGGAUCGUAAAACUCUGUUAUUAGGGAAGAACAAAUGUGUAAGUAACUAUGCACGUCUUGACGGUACCUAAUCAGAAAGCCACGGCUAACUUCGUG